This 178-nucleotide unclassified non-coding RNA is filed under the name rhizosphere metagenome. RNAcentral describes it as "partial ribosomal RNA internal transcribed spacer region". The record is from RNAcentral.
AAUGAAGCCGGGAAACCGGUCCUUCUAACCCUUAAUUAUAAUAAUUCGUUGCUUUGGUGGGCCGCGCAAGCACUGGCUUCGGCUGGAUCGUGCCCGCCAGAGGACCACAACUCUGUAUCAAAUGUCGUCUGAGUACUAUAAAAUAGUUAAAACUUUCAACAACGGAUCUCUUGGUUCU